UUUGUAAUGUGAGACAUUUAUUUUGGUUACAACUUUAGAGUGCGUUAACACUGGUGGUAGACUAGAGGCUAAACUUUCCUUUUCCUCCCGGAUGGCAGGACCUCCCAUGCCUGGCAGGUGACAGUGCUCUGCCUCACCCCACCAUCCCCUGCCCUCUGAACCUCUUCGGUCCACUGAAUCACUUUUUACGGAGUUAACCUAACGCUGGCAGAGGAAAAUGGAAUACAAGUUAAAUAUCCAGCCAUUCUCUCUAUGCUAUGAUCAGGACAAAGCCUGUAAAAGAAUUAUGAAAAAGACAAUUUCCUGUGAGAAAAUCUCUUAUCCUCGUAUUAUAAGAUCAGUGCUUAUCUUGAUUAAAACAUUUAGCAUCUUAAAUACUAUGAGCAACUUAAGAGUGCUGGAGCCCAGAAGAGCCUUAGUAUGGGCCAAGAGUUCCCUCAUUUGGUAAGUGUUAGUCUGUGCUCUCAAGACAAUAGAACAGCAAAGAAACAGACCUACUCCUGGAAAAGGCAGGCAGACUUUAGAAGAUUGAGAAGAGAAACCAUUUUUACGUUUGUAAUUUUUACCUGGAUGUUUAUAAGUCAUAGAAAGUGUCUGGGUCUGA
RNAcentral lists this long non-coding RNA (604 nucleotides) under Mus spretus (western wild mouse). Its description in RNAcentral is "lncRNA (ENSMSPG00010051452.1)". Lineage: Eukaryota; Metazoa; Chordata; Mammalia; Rodentia; Muridae. The record is from RNAcentral.